Molecule: small nuclear RNA, 129 nt
Organism: Gracilinanus agilis (Agile Gracile Mouse Opossum)
Lineage: Eukaryota; Metazoa; Chordata; Mammalia; Didelphimorphia; Didelphidae
Source: RefSeq, a predicted model, not a curated record
GUGAUAUAUGGAAGAAGAGAAAGUUAGCACUGCCCUUGAUAAGAAUGGAAAAGGUCCUGGUGGCCUUUACAGUACACAUAUGGUUAUGGCAUUGCCGCUGAAUCUGGAGUCAGGAAGAUCCCUCUUCCU